UGUAGCUCAGUAUUAGAGUACUUGCCUAGCAUGUAAGAGGCCCUGGGUUCAAUCCCCAGCA
RNAcentral lists this transfer RNA (61 nucleotides) under Ictidomys tridecemlineatus (thirteen-lined ground squirrel). RNAcentral describes it as "Spermophilus tridecemlineatus (thirteen-lined ground squirrel) tRNA". It matches the Rfam family "tRNA", at positions 6 to 65 of the family's 71-position model. From Rfam's summary of the family: Transfer RNA (tRNA) molecules are approximately 80 nucleotides in length. Their secondary structure includes four short double-helical elements and three loops (D, anti-codon, and T loops). The record is from Rfam by way of RNAcentral. Lineage: Eukaryota; Metazoa; Chordata; Mammalia; Rodentia; Sciuridae.